Long non-coding RNA from Bos taurus (domestic cattle), 645 nucleotides. Lineage: Eukaryota; Metazoa; Chordata; Mammalia; Artiodactyla; Bovidae. The record is from Ensembl.
GCUGGAACACCCGGCUAAUCAUUGGCGGCCAGGUUUGAUCACGUGAUCAGCUCGGGCCCGCCCCUAACCGCUAAUCACCUGGCACCGUUCUCGAAGCGGCGCCGAAAGUCGUUCGCACGCGGAAAGGGAGGGUAGUUAGAAGACCUCCUUUUCAGCCGUCAUGAGAUUAUAUUCCUAAAGUGGAAACGAGAAAGCAGGGACUCAAAACUAAAAAACCCUGUCCUACGGCGGGGAUGCAGGCAGUUUGGGUAAUUAUGGGAGCGAGACUGGGUGUAACAGGCACUUUCAGUCUCCCUUCCCCCACUUGUUUGAUGGCUGUGUGGUUUUAGGGAAACUGCUUAACUUUUCUUCCAGGGAGAAUGCAUUUGCUGCUAACAGUGUUCCAACUGGUGGUUACUCUGUCAGCCUUGGUCCCAUAAUAUGGAUGGCAUAGAGCAGAGACACCUAAUCAACUGGCAGUGAAUAUGUUCAGUUCAGUUCAGUCACUCAGUCGUGUCCGACUCUUUACGACCCCAUGAAUCGCAGCACGCCAGGCGUCCCUGUCCAUCACCAACUCCUGGAGUUCACUCAGACUCACGCCCAUCGAGUCAGUGAUGCCAUCCAGCCAUCUCAUCCUCUGUCGUCCCCUUCUCCUGCCCCUAAUCC